GAUGAACGCUGGCGGCGUGCCUAAUACAUGCAAGUCGAGCGAAUGGAUUAAGAGCUUGCUCUUAUGAAGUUAGCGGCGGACGGGUGAGUAACACGUGGGUAACCUGCCCAUAAGACUGGGAUAACUCCGGGAAACCGGGGCUAAUACCGGAUAACAUUUUGAACCGCAUGGUUCGUAAUUGAAAGGCGGCUUCGGCUGUCACUUAUGGAUGGACCCGCGUCGCAUUAGCUAGUUGGUGAGGUAAUGGCUCACCAAGGCAACGAUGCGUAGCCGCACUGAGAGAGUGAUCGGCCACACUGUGGCUGAGACACGGCCCAAACUCCUACGGGAGGCAGCAGUAUGGAAUCUUCCGCAAUGGACGAAAGUCUGACGGAGCAACGCCGCGUGAAUGAUGAAGGCUUUCGGGUCGUAAAACUCUGUUGUUAGGGAAGAACAAGUGCUAGUUGAAUAAGCUGGCACCUUGACGGUACCUAACCAGAAAGCCACGGCUAACUACGUGCCAGCCGCCGCCGUAA
RNAcentral lists this ribosomal RNA (515 nucleotides) under uncultured bacterium. RNAcentral describes it as "partial 16S ribosomal RNA". It matches the Rfam family "Bacterial small subunit ribosomal RNA", at positions 28 to 523 of the family's 1533-position model. The record is from RNAcentral.